CCAGGAAGAUUCUACAGCUACGCCCCUCUCAAUGCUUCAAAAGCUCAAGUGCUGAUGGAGGUCAGAGAGCAGCUGCCGAGGUCGAAAAGGAUGCGCUCGCACCCCGAGAAGUGCAACCCAAAAAAAUUUGCCUCUAUCAUCCUGACCACGACCAUGACACAGAGGAGUGUAUUCAGCUUCGAGAUGAAAUCGAAGAGCUCAUCAGGCAGGGUCGGCUCGACAGAUUCAUCCGACACCAGCCUGAAAGUAGGGGGGAUCGGAUGAGGGCCCUGUCGCAAUCAGAGCCGCCAAGGAGGGAGGAGCAGCCUGAAG
RNAcentral lists this long non-coding RNA (312 nucleotides) under Elaeis guineensis (African oil palm). RNAcentral's name for it is "long non-coding RNA (EGUI_LNC042577)". Lineage: Eukaryota; Viridiplantae; Streptophyta; Magnoliopsida; Arecales; Arecaceae. The record is from RNAcentral.